RNAcentral lists this ribosomal RNA (433 nucleotides) under uncultured bacterium. Its description in RNAcentral is "partial 16S ribosomal RNA". It matches the Rfam family "Bacterial small subunit ribosomal RNA", at positions 29 to 507 of the family's 1533-position model. The record is from RNAcentral.
AACGAACGCUGGCGGCAUGCCUAACACAUGCAAGUCGAACGAGACCUUCGGGUCUAGUGGCGCACGGGUGCGUAACGCGUGGGAACCUGCCCUUAGGUUCAGAAUAACUCCCCGAAAGGGGUGCUAAUACCGGAUAAUGUCUUCGGACCAAAGAUUUAUCGCCUUUGGAUGGGCCCGCGUUGGAUUAGCUAGUUGGUAGGGUAAAAGCCUACCAAGGCGACGAUCCAUAGCUGGUCUGAGAGGAUGAUCAGCCACACUGGGACUGAGACACGGCCCAGACUCCUACGGGAGGCAGCAGUGGGGAAUAUUGGACAAUGGGCGAAAGCCUGAUCGCGCUAUGCCGCGUGAGUGAUGAAGGCCUUAGGGAUGUAAAGCUCUUUUACCCGGGAUGAUAAUGACGGUACCGGGAGAAUAAGCUCCGGCUAACUCCGUG